UGUUCUCCCUGGAAAAAGAUGAGGUCAUGACACGGGCAUGUCUCUCUCCUGCUGCAGGAUUGCUUCUCCAUGGCCAAUGUCUCAUGGUAUGGAGGUGCAAGCCUCCGUGCCCAACACUGGCCCUUCAACAGUGCUGAGAGCCCAGAGCAGCCCUUUGUCAGUGGAGAUUUCAGCAAAAACCCCACUGGGUAUGGCCCUGUGCUGGAGAGAUACUUCUUAGGGUCAACAGGUAUUUUCUGCUUCCCCAUUUGAUUUCCUAUGGGUUUAAUCACUGCAUCUCUCCAUCCAUCCCAGUUCAACUGAGAACUAUUUCCCCCUCUUUUAACCCCAAAGGAGUAACAGUGACAGUGGCACCUGACGUGCCCCUGGUCCUCUCUCUGGAGAGCCAUUGGCAUUUCUGCCUGGGAGGAGCUGGAGGCCCCCUGCACUAUGUCCUCUGCUUCAGCCCCGAUAUCACAACUGCACACCGGCAUGUGGGCACCCAGCUGGCAGGGCCAGCACGAGCACUGCCUGAUACAACACUGCUGUGGUAAGCCAUUCCUUCUGCCUCCAUUACUGGGUUGCUUUCCAAGCCUAAAUUAGCACAAAUCUCCAUUUUGCUGAUUUUUCCUCAUCCACUGAAUUAUAUGUGCCUCUCUUGCGGUGCCCUUUGCUAGCCCAAGGUGCAGACCCCAUGUGUUCUUCAUCCCACAGGUCUCCUAUCUGGCAGUAUGAUGGUCCAGAGGGUUCUGCUGCCAAAAUUAAGCGGGGUCUGAGGUCGCUGGCCAAGAGACUGAAGCGGCAUCGCAUGCAGGAGGGGGUUCUGGCCCUGAGGGAGCAUGGCACAGCCACACUUGCCACCACGGACCAUGUGCCUGCAGAGAGGAGGAAGAGGCAUGGUGCAUCCCAUGCCUGGGACCCGGCAAUGAUCUUCCCACUGCAGCUCUCCAUCACUCUGUCCCCCUACAUCAGCAUUGCUGCCCCGCUCUUCCUGCACUUGCUGAGGGAUGGUGAGACCGGCUACUGGCUGAGCCUGCAGCCCCGCUAUGGGGGCUGCUCGGUAUGGUACCCAGCACCUCUAUCUUGUCUUAUUUUAAAUGACCCACCAGUUUGCUAUUCAACCUUGCAGGGUGAAAUUUUUCACUUCUGUGCACUGCAUCGACGCAAGUAGUGGUGUCACCCCCUCUCCAAGCCUUGCACCCCACAUUUUUUGGUGAUGUUUUAAGGGUCUGACUGAUAUUUCUCACCAUUUGCUGCAGGUCCCAUUGCUGACAACAUGGAAGGGACAGCUUUGUGCACGCCUGAACAUCACCAAUGAGGCAGCACUGAGCUGGUACUUGUCCCAUGCCCGUGGCCUGAGGCACAAGUUGGGUGCCAAGUACGUGAUCUUUGAGGGUGCUGAGGGCAAUGCCUUCCUGGAGCAAGCAAUGUCUCCUCCUGCUGAGCUGGCUGGUGACCAAUAUGCUGAGAUGCUGGCAGCAGCACUAGUGACACUGGGGAAUGCCACUGUCAUCAGCGUCGGUGCCAGGUGGGUUGUGAUGAGAAGAUGCUUGGGGAAGCAUCAAGGUGAUUUUCCCAUCUCUUUGCUUCUUCUGU
This is a long non-coding RNA of Coturnix japonica (Japanese quail), 1575 nucleotides long. Lineage: Eukaryota; Metazoa; Chordata; Aves; Galliformes; Phasianidae. The record is from Ensembl.